AGAGUUUGAUCCUGGCUCAGGAUAAACGCUGGCGGCGUGCCUAAAACAUGCAAGUCGAACGGACCCUUCGGGGUUAGUGGCGAACGGCUGAGUAACACGUGGGUGACCUGCCUUCGAACGGGGGAUAACUGCCCGAAAGGGUGGCUAAUACCGCAGAUGUCGUUUCUUCGGUGAGAUGACUGAACCGUUUAGGGUUCGGAGAGGGGCCUGCGUCCGAUUAGCUAGCUGGUGGGGUAAAGGCCUACCAGGGCGACGAUCGGUAGCUGGUCUGAGAGGAUGAUCAGCCAGACUGGGACUGCGAGACGGCCCAGACUCCUACGGGAGGCAGCAGUUAGGAAUUUUGGGCAAUGGGCGAAAGCCUGACCCAGCAACGCCGCGUGGGUGAAGAAGGCUCUCGGGUCGUAAAGCCCUUUUCCCAGGGAAGAUAGUGACGGUACCUGGGGAAUCAGCCCCGGCUAACUACGUGCCAGCAGCCGCGGUAAUAC
Molecule: ribosomal RNA, 485 nt
Filed under: uncultured bacterium
Lineage: Bacteria
Description: bacterial SSU rRNA
Rfam family: Bacterial small subunit ribosomal RNA
Source: RNAcentral